Molecule: long non-coding RNA, 837 nt
Organism: Drosophila innubila
Lineage: Eukaryota; Metazoa; Arthropoda; Insecta; Diptera; Drosophilidae
Exons: 3
Source: RefSeq, a predicted model, not a curated record
AGGGUUUUUCAAUUGGCGCGGGUCGAUUUUGGCGCCCCGUGGCAGCCAUUUGUUUUGGUGACAUCUGUCAAAUAUUUUGUUUAUUAUUCAGUUGUUUAAGCCAAAUCAUCAUGGCAAGUUACACGAUUAAACAGCACGUUCAAAUGAUAAAACUUUAUUAUCAAUAUGAGUGUUCAUUAACGCAAACGCAAACCCCAGUUUUGGGCGAAAUAUCAUCUUUAGUGAGGAGGCGCAUUUUUGGAUGAAUGGCUGUGUUAACAAACAAAAUUGCUGUAUAUGGGACGACACCAAUCCACACGAGGUUCACCAGAUGAUAAUGCAACCUCAAAAAGUUUGGUGUAAAUUUUGGGCCGGCGGCGUCAUUGGUCCGUACUUUUUUGAAAACGACGUUGGUGAGGCGGUCACCGUCAACACCGAGCGCUACACAACGAUGAUGACCAAUUUCUUAUGGCCCAUAUUGAACCAUAUGGACCUAGACGACAUGUGGUUCCAGCAGGACAGCGCUACGUGCCACACAGCAAACGCCACGAUUGACAUUCUCGCAGGGGUGAUGUGAAUUGGCCAACAAGGUCAUGCGAUUUGACCCCGCUAGACUUUUUCCUGUGGGGUUUCUUGAAGUCGCAAAUAAACCACAGUCGACCGAUGCUCUAAAGGUGAAUAUAACACAGGCCAUCGCUCAAAUUCAGCCGGAUCUAUGCGGAAGAGUCAUUGAAAAUUGGACCACUCGGAUACGUUCCACCGUAAGAAGCCGAGGCGGGCAUUUGAAUGAUGUCAUAUUCCACACUUAAUAGCAUAUAUGCGCCUUUCAAAUAAAAAAAAAAUUUUGUCAAUACCUCA